Molecule: ribosomal RNA, 395 nt
Filed under: uncultured bacterium
Lineage: Bacteria
Description: partial 16S ribosomal RNA
Rfam family: Bacterial small subunit ribosomal RNA
Source: RNAcentral
AUACGUAGGGAGCGAGCGUUGUCCGGAAUUACUGGGUGUAAAGGGAGCGUAGGCGGGAGUGCAAGUCAGAUGUGAAAUACAUGGGCUCAACCCAUGGGCUGCAUUUGAAACUGCAUUUCUUGAGUAAGUAGAGGUAAGCGGAAUUCCUGGUGUAGCGGUGAAAUGCGUAGAUAUCAGGAGGAACACCGGUGGCGAAGGCGGCUUACUGGGCUUUUACUGACGCUGAGGCUCGAAAGCGUGGGGAGCAAACAGGAUUAGAUACCCUGGUAGUCCACGCUGUAAACGAUGAUUACUAGGUGUGGGGGGACUGACCCCUUCCGUGCCGCAGUUAACACAAUAAGUAAUCCACCUGGGGAGUACGGCCGCAAGGUUGAAACUUAAAGGAAUUGACGGGG